AAAAAAAGAACCCUAGAGUAAAAGAAGGAAAAGUUGCGCAACAGCUUGAAGAGGAGAGAACGAGAAAAGCACUUUGUUUCUGCAUUUCCAGCUCCAUAAAAAAAGCUGAAAAAUCAGACAUUAAAAUAGUCCCUUAAGCUUCGUAGCGCUCCUACUCAUAAGCCUAAUCUUUUGUCCCCUUUUUCCAUCAAACUACAACUUCUUUUGCUUUGAAUGUGCUCAAUAUCAGCCUAAAACUCAGAUGAAUUCCACCACAUAAUGCAACAAAGUAGCCACGAAAACCAAGCUCCAAAAGCCUUAAACUCAGCCGAAAAAUAACUCCAAAUACCAGUCCAAGAAGGUUGAAAUUGAGUUUGCCGAUGAGGUGUUUGUUUGCAGCUCCGGCGGCGGUCCGAUAUGUAGCCAUAUACGUAAGAAACCAUGUAGUCUGGUGUCCAAUGUAAGGAUGGUAAAGUGCAAAUGUUGGACCUUCAUGGAUAUUCAUUGAAAGGAAUAUUCGCACCAGAACUUGGAAAUCUCACUCAAAAUCACUGUAAGCUUCAACUAUACUUACAUGGAUCUGGUUUUAGUCUAAGAACAAUAUCUAGUGUGCUAUGUUCAUAGAAUUAAUACUUCCCGAUCUAGGUUAACACUAUCUUAUCCCUUUACAAUUUGAAAUUGCAUCGAAUUUACAUAUUAGUACAGUUUUCUAUUUUGUUUCCAUUUGUUACUUAGGAGCUGUCUCAUAAUAUAAAGAGUGUCAUAUACAUUGGAGUGGACGUCUGCCAAAUUAAAACUUUACCUUAUUAUUUUUGCCAAAGAAAACGUGCGAAAGUAAUUGGGUAGAUUUUUUCCCUUUUCUAUUUUUUUUACAAAGAGUAACUGGGUAGAUUUUUGGUAAUCAUAGCUUCACCAUCCACUGUUCUGCAUCUAUAUAACUUGUUUUAGAAUUUUAAUAAAUUUUCUUCUUCUCUGAAUGCUUUUCGUCCAGUGUGCUUUCUGAAAACCAUCACUUUGGUCGUAUUCCUAAAGAAUUUGGACGUCUCAUAGCUCCUUGCCUCAUAAUAAUCUCAAAUUAGUUUAGCAAAAGGAUUUAUAAAUAUCGUAGCUUGCUUUAGGCACGACUAAUAAUAUGAAUUAUCGUGGCUAUGGGUACGGUUCCUAUAACAUAGUCAUGAUACUUAAUUCCCAAAUUCGAGUGCACGUUUCGCGUGAUUUGACCCCCGACUUCAAAUAAUAAUAAAAAUUAACAUGUUGUGAAUCGCGGGUGCUUUUCACGUGGCGCGAUUCGCAAUGUGUACAAAAAUACAAACGAGUACGCGACAUCGCGACUUGUUCAAACAAAUUCUAUAAAUACUAAAAGCGGUCAAAAAGUAAAAAUGCACAUAGAUUUCAAAUAUGUAUUAAAUCAGAUAAUUAGGCUAAUUAUUUAUAGUUGAGCGACCAUGCUAAAAUUACGAAACUGGGGAGUGUCUCACACCUUUUUUCGGGUUAACAUAAUUCCUUACCCGAUCUUCUGUGUUCGCGGAUCAUAAAUAAGAGUCAAUUUCCUCGAUUUGGGAUUUUAAAAAUAAAUCGAUGACUUGGGACGCUAUAAUAAUUAUCCCAAGUGGCUACUCUAAAUGAAUAAAUAAUCCCAUUUUGAUUAAUGUCACUUUAAUUGAAAAAACUCCUUAUCCCCUCGGAAAAAAGGAGGUGUGACAGUUCUGGCGACUCUGCUGAGGAUCGAACCCAGAAUCUCUGGUUUAGGGUUCAGAAUUUGAUUUUAGAAUAACUGUUAUACUUGAUUUUUGUUUAUUAUUAUUAUUUUUUACGUGUUUGAGUCUAAUGUGCUAAAUGCCGCUUUUUACCGCUUUGAUAUUGUUUGAACUGUAUAUAAAAUUGUUACGAAACCCUUCUUCUCUUUGAGUGUUCUAAAUAUUCUGGGAAGCACACGCUGGCGUGACUUCUUUUCUGUUAGUGUCAUACCCUAAUUUAGGACGAGUAUCAGAUUAGUUACAACGCCGGAUGACCUUUUGGUUCCUGGUACAUUGCCCCUCCUCGGCUCGAAUUGUCUGCUCGGAUAUGCUAGGUCUAGAAAAACACACCCUAGGAUUUAAACCUAGAAUAACAUAGCCUCAUGCCGGAUCUCUAGUAGGUACGCUUGUUUGCAUCACGUACAUUUGACUUUGGGGACUCAACAAAGAGGUUGGGUCUGUCUAGGACAGGUGUACCUAAAUUAAAAGACCAUCCAGAUGCAUUCUAACGUGCUACUUGUGCAUUUAUUUGUUUCAUCUUGCACGUUGACCGACUUCUAGAAUAGGGAAAGAAAAUCAAGAAAAACCAAGAGUGAAGUAGAAAGAGAAAAUCCAUCCGGUUUUGAAAAUCCCGGUACUCGAAAUAUCCUGAAACUCUGCCAAAAUUUUGAAAAAAAUAAAUAAAAGAAAAAGUCAUUUCAAAAUAAGUCAUAUUUUCCCGUUGUGUCAAAAUUGGCCGAACUAUGCGGGUCUGGUUCUCACGGGAUGUGAGAUACGUAGGCAAAUCUCAUCGGUUCCGGCCCACAAUUUUCAAAAAAUCAAAAAAAAAAUUCUUUUACUUCCUUCUUUAGAAAAGUCUUUCUUCGAGACCUUAAUUUUUUUUAAAGAAAAAAAUCUAAAAAUAUUUUCUUUUAAUUUCUUCUAAAAAUCCAAAAAUAUUUUCAUUCUUCUUCAUAAGUUUUUCUUCCACAAAGANNNNNNNNNNNNNNNNNNNNNNNNNNNNNNNNNNNNNNNNNNNNNNNNNNNNNNNNNNNNNNNNNNNNNNNNNNNNNNNNNNNNNNNNNNNNNNNNNNNNNNNNNNNNNNNNNNNNNNNNNNNNNNNNNNNNNNNNNNNNNNNNNNNNNNNNNNNNNNNNNNNNNNNNNNNNNNNNNNNNNNNNNNNNNNNNNNNNNNNNNNNNNNNNNNNNNNNNNNNNNNNNNNAUUUACAAAAAAAGAAAAAAAGAAAAAAGAAAAAAAAUGAUGAUGAUAAUAAUAAGGACUAACUGAGUCCAUUCUAACGUGUCUCUUGUUUUGAAUUGUAAAGAAAGUUUGAGCUGGUCGGUUUGUGGUAAACUGGCAACACAAGAUCCAAGGAAAAAAUACCAUUGACAACUGACAUCGAAGCUGUUACAGGUGCUUAAGAGACUCAGGAUCAGCGGGUUCAAAAAGAGUCUACUGUGGUUGAGGAAAAUAGAAUAGUGAAACAACAAAUGACCGAAAUGUGUCAAGCAUAGGCCAAUGACCAAGGACAACCUUUUCCUAUUCAUGGUUUCCCAGAGUUCACAUUCAUCUCGACUACUACUAUUCCGGUAUCAUUGUCUGAUCAAUCUUAUCCACUUGGGUUCAAUCUUUGUCCCAACUAUACGACUAUAACUCGAACUUCUGUUGCGCGCUCCCAAAGUGUGCCAUUAACAACCAAUCAGACAACCACUACUGUUGUGCCCAUCUUCACCAUCCCACAGUCGAUGGUGGUGCAGAGGAAAACCCAUGAGUUACAAUUUGCUAUCCAACAAGAACAAUACCACUCUCUUGAGCACCACUCGUACCUAUUUGAUCUUCCUGCAAAGAUUGAGAAGCCUGCCCGAAAGAUGGCACAAGAAGAAAGGACCCAAAGAAUGAAAAACUUAGAACAAUAGUUGAAAAAUAUGCAAGGGUUGGCAGAUCAGAAGAGUAUUGCCUUCAAGGAUCUAUAUAUGUUCCCCGAUGUUCGUUUGCCACUUGGUUUCAAGACUCCCAAAUUUGAAAAGUAUGAUGGACAUGGAGACCCCAUAGCCCACCUGAAAAGGUAUUGCAAUCAACUAAGAGGUGCGGGAGGAAAUGAAGAAUUACUAAUGGCUUAUUUUGGGGAAAGCCUUACGGGGAUAGCCUCUGGAUGAUUUACUGAUCAAGACACCUCUCGCUGGCAUGUCGGGGAUGACAUGGCACGUGGGAUGACAUGGCCCGGGCCUUUGUCAAAUAGUUCCAAUACAACAUGGACAUUGCCCCGGAACGUAAUUCCCUUUCAAAUAUGAAGAGGAAACCAAUUGAAAGUUUUAGGGAAUACGCCAUUAAAUGGAGAGAGCAAACAGCUAGAGUUAAGCCACCCAUAGAUGACCACGAGCUAAUAACUGUCUUCCUUCAGGCUCAAGAGCCAGAUAAUUUUCAAAACAUGAUGUUCGCAGUGGGCAAAUCCUUCUCGGAAGCAAUCAAAAUGGGGGGGAAUGGUUGAGAACGGCCUUAAGACGGGCAGAAUUAUGAGUUAAGCAGUUCUAAAAGCCAUAACUCAGGUUGUCUAGAUUGAAUCCGUUAAUUUUAGUGACAUGAAUGAGAAGGAUGAAGAAACCAUGAUGACAUCAGGGUCGAGAAGAGGUCCUAGGAGAGCAUCUCGAAGGUAUGACCAGCCUCAUCUGGUUUCCGAUGAUGCUCCUGAGCACUAUUAUCCACCUCAGAACCCAUAAUACUUUGUUGUUGCACCUCAGUAUGUUGUCCAGCCAUCAAAACACCCCAGAAGGCGAGCACGAGCAUCAUAAAAUCUCCACCAGCCUCCACAAAAUUUUCAAAUGCCCUAUAACCCACAUCCAAGCUUGGGGUAUAGAGGGGAACAAAGGUUGAAAGAUAAUUUUAUACCAAUAGAAAUCAUAUGCAAGCUUGUUUGAGAAAUUAAAGUAUUAUGACAUGAUUGCACCAAUUCCUCCAAAUUAUGUGGACCCACAUGAAUCUUUGACCUUUCUAGAAGGUGUGAAUAUCAUUCCAAUGCCAGGGGCACAAUGUUGAAAGCUGCCAGGAUUUAAAAAGAGAAAUAGAAAGGAUGAUCCAGGAAAAAUUGAUUAUGAUUGAAGAAGGCCUUGGUGAUUCUGAUGAGCAAAUUUAUGGCUAAAUGUCAAGCUUAGCAAUUGAAAAGUCAUUCCCUCCUCACUAGGAAGGAAUCUUGGUAGCUUGUUUUGAUGUUUUUCUAUUCUUUGGGUUAUUUUAGGGUUGUGACCCAGAUUUUAUUUGUUUUAUUGAGUCAAACCCUUCUAUCUAUCUAUUUUGUUUGUGUAAGUCCUGUCUGUUUGUUUUGUUGCUAUUUUCCUUAUCUGGUUUAUUUUAGGGUUGUAACUCGGAUUUUAGGUUGUUUGUCUUGUUGUCAAACCCUCCCAUCAUUUACUCAAUGAAAUACAGUUUGUCUUUUUUGUGUCAUUCUGCGCUUAGUACUUUUCUCGCUAGUUUUAGUGACAUGACAUGCAUGCGAAAUUUUUGGCAAGAUCUUAGAAAACCAAUUUAGCUCGAACUAGAUAACUGAGAACCAAACACUUUUGAGGACGAAAAAGAGUUGAAAUACCUUGGAAUUAAGCCCGAGUAAAAUUCAAGUGGAACUAGAAUAGUCAUACCCGUGGAAGUUAAGGAUCUUUACCUUCAAAAUCAUUGUGAAGAUCAGAUUUGAGAAUGUUGAAUCAUUUGAAGUUCGAUGGAAAGUUUGACAUUAAGAGAUAGAAAGUGUUUUUUGACCACGACACACCAAGAAGACAGACAUGUUCAUCAAUGUUGUGAUCACGAAAGGAUACUAUGUUUAGCAUUCUCGAGGCUGGGAGGCCCUUUUUCUGCUACCUAAACACUUUAUACCCUUCGUUACCCUUUUGAGUCUAUGUUAUUUUCUUUAACCACCAUCUUUUGGAAUCAAGUUUAGAGUUAAAAGUCCAAAAAAUGAUGCUUCCAUAGUACAAACUGGGGCAAUUCUUAGAAAGUUCAAGUGAAAAAAGAAAAUAAGAAGAAAAAAAUAAUCAAAGGUCCAUUCUGCCAGAAAAUAAAAGAAGGGGCAACUUGUUUUGAAAAAAAGAAAGAAAAAAAGAUAAAGAAACACAAAGAAUGAUAAAAAUGGUUAGGUCAGAUGUUUGAACUAUGUUUGACCUGAUUCCUUUAAAAAAGGAUACGUAGGCAGCCUCACCCUAGAUUCGGUCCAACCAAAAAAAAAUCCAGUAUCUAAAACUAGGGCAUGAGUUUGUUUUAGUUUUUGAAAGUAUCGAUUCCAAGAGUUGUAAGUGUACAAUCUAUCAUAUUGAGUCUGCUUUGAGUCUUCAUGUCAUUCUUUCUUUCCAACUCUAUCCAAAAACCUUUCAAAUAGAGACCUCCUGAUCAGCCUUCAAGAAUGCCAAGAGACGCAUGCAAUGAGCAACAGUUGCCACACGACAUAGAACACUUUCAAGUUGCUCACAAAAAAAAGGAAAAAAGAAAAAAUGAGAGAGUCUUACUAGUGAAAACCCUUACGGGCACUGUAAGGCGAUAAUAAGUAAAGAUAAUAAAUGAGAGAGACUUGUUGGUGAAAAUUCAUCGGGGUACCACUAGUCGAAAGUGAGUCGUGAAGCUGAUGCAAAGGAUUGGCACGAACAAGCCCAACUUCAAAGGCCAUAGGAAUGGUGAAAGGAAAGAUUAGAUCAGUUUGAUAGAUCAGGUCGUUGAUUCCAAAAUGCAUGUCAUGAUCAUUAAAGCUAGUUAUUGACCCAAAAACAAUUCCUUUUAUCCUUCCCGGCAGGGGUAUUUCUUCUUAAUAUUGUUUCUUUGCAUCAUUGUGUCCUCACUCUGAGUCCGUCCUUGUUAAAAUAAGUAAAAAAAAGAUUUCAAAAUCUGCUACCAGCUUUUCAGUUGCACAAAGUAAAUUUGGCCAAUACACUCAGGUGUUACAGUCAACAUGCCUUAAGGAUUCAUGCAAAAACUUCCCCCCCCAAAGACCCUUGUCUGCCUACUUGGCUAAAGCAAGCAAAGAUAACCUAUGUAAUACUGAACAGAGACUAUGAAGUGUGCACAUCUUGCAAAAGGCGCAUACCCAGUUGCGACUCUCUCUGACAAACAAAUUGCUCAAAAAGCAAUAAGCAAUUCAAGAUAUCAAAAAAGGUCACUAAUAACUAGGGAUUCUAGUCUAGUUUAUGCUUCUUUUUUGCUUGAGUUUUGGACUAAAAUGUGUACAAGUAUUCCCCAAAAUCUAAAUUGUUGUGCUUGCUUGCAGUGUUUGGUCAAAAAGGGACAAGGAUGUCAUAACCAGCACAAAAAAAAGAGUGAAACCAGCACAAGUUCAAAACCAAAUCAAAGCAGCGCUAUAGCAUAAAAUCCACCGCAGCCGCAAAAGACUCACCGCGACCGCGGUUCGUGGUGGCAAAGAUUCAGAGAGUUGGCAUUUUUAGAAUUCAAGCUACCGCGGUCCGCAGUGAUUUUGUGUGACCGCGGUACCUCCACCGUGACAACGGUCAGUAUACUGCGGUCUGCGAUGGAGGAGUUCAGAGAGCCUGGAGUUUGAGCAAAAGCUGAAGACCACGGUCCACGGUUGAUUUACCGCGGCCGCAGUAGCCUCACCGCUGCAGCGAUCCAUUUUCCGCUAUCAACGGUACCUCCGUCAGGGGCAUUUUUAUCCGAAAAAUUUAGCUGUGUAUAAAUACUUUCUUUUCAGAUUUUUAGGGCACCUCAUCAGUAGGGAGCACGUGAACAACGACUUUUUCCCAUUUUGAGUAAUUUUG
Molecule: long non-coding RNA, 7439 nt
Filed under: Nicotiana tabacum (common tobacco)
Lineage: Eukaryota; Viridiplantae; Streptophyta; Magnoliopsida; Solanales; Solanaceae
Description: long non-coding RNA (NTAB_LNC001670)
Source: RNAcentral